RNAcentral lists this ribosomal RNA (2973 nucleotides) under uncultured bacterium W5-102b. Its description in RNAcentral is "bacterial LSU rRNA". It matches the Rfam family "Bacterial large subunit ribosomal RNA". The record is from RNAcentral.
UCAAGUGAACGAAGGGUGUAUGGUGGAUGCCUUGGCAUCAGUCGCCGAUGAAGGACGUGGUUGGCUGCGAUAAGCCACGGGGAGCUGCUAAACAAGCGUUGAUCCGCGGAUGUCCGAAUGGGGAAACCCACCUACCGUAAUGGGUAGGUACUCCUGUCUGAACACAUAGGACGGGUAGAGGUAAGCAAGGGAAGUGAAACAUCUCAGUACCUUGAGUAAAAGAAAGAAAAAUCGAUUCCCAAAGUAGCGGCGAGCGAAAUGGGAACAGCCCAAACCUUUACAGUGUAAGGCCGUAGCCGUUGCUGUGAGGGUGUUGUAGGGCGGUUUGUCCAGUUGUUACGGAGACUGGCAACAGAUACAAGGACACAGAUAGCGGAAUCAGCUGGAAAGCUGUACCACAGAGGGUAAUGGUCCCGUACGCGAAAUCUGCUGUCACUGUUGAUGACCGAUCCUGAGUAGCACCGGGCACGUGAAACCCGGUGUGAACCCGCGGGGACCAUCCCGCAAGGCUAAACACGACUGAUGACCGAUAGUGAACAAGUACCGUGAGGGAAAGGUGAAAAGCACCCCGGUGAGGGGAGUGAAAUAGAACCUGAAACCGUGCACCUACAAGCAGUCGGAGCCUCUAUAUGGGGUGACGGCGUACUUUUUGCAUAACGGGCCAGGGAGUUACUCUUCAGCGGCAAGGUUAAGGAAACGGAGCCGUAGCGAAAGCGAGUCUGAAUAGGGCGUCUAAGUCGUUGGAGGUAGACCCGAAGCCGGGUGAUCUAUCCAUGGACAGGCUGAAUCGGGGGUAAGACCUCGUGGAGGGCCGAACCCACUUCUGUUGAAAAAGGAGGGGAUGAUCUGUGGAUCGGAGUGAAAGGCUAAUCAAACCCGGUGAUAUCUGGUUCUCGCCGAAAUAUAUUUAGGUAUAGCCUCAGGCGUUCCCAAUUGGCGGUAGAGCACUGUUUGGUUUAGGGGCCUUACCAGGUUACCGACAUCAGAUAAACUCCGAACACCAAUUGGCUAGAGCCUGGGAGUCAGACUGUGGGGGAUAAGCUUCAUGGUCGAAAGGGAAACAACCCAGACCAUCAGCUAAGGUCCCUAAAUCUGUACUAAGUGGCAAACGAUGUUCGAAUGCACAGACAACCAGGAGGUUGGCUUAGAGGCAGCCAUUCCUUUAAAGAGUGCGUAACAGCUCACUGGUCAAGUGUUCGUGCGCGGAUAAUGUAACGGGGCUCAAGUACAGUACCGAAGCUAUGGAUUCGCAUCCUUACGGAUGUGAGUGGUAGGCGAGCGUUCCCAGGGCAGUGAAGCAGUAUCCGCGAGGUGCUGUGGAGCGUUGGGAAGUGAGAAUCCUGGCAUGAGUAACGAGAGAUGGGUGAAAAACCCAUCCGCCGAAAGCCUAAGGGUUCCUGAGUAAAGCUAAUCUGCUCAGGGUUAGUCGGGACCUAAGCCGAGGCCGCAAGGCGUAGGCGAUGGACAACAGGUUAAUAUUCCUGUACCGGCAGUGGCGUGUAUCCACUUGAGGAGUGACGGAGCAAGAGAACCCAACCCGGGAUCUGAACAGACCGGGCCAAGCGUGUGGCGUGUCAGUAGGCAAAUCCGCUGGCGUAUACGUGAGACGCGAUGGCGACCCGUUUAGGGGAAGUGGGUGUAUCUAUACUUCCAAGAAAAUCUUCGUAAGUGGCGUCAAGGCCGCCCGUACCAAAACCGACACAGGUAGGCGGGUAGAGAAUACUCAGGCGAUCGAGAGAACAGUGGUUAAGGAACUCGGCAAAAUGGCCUCGUAACUUCGGAAGAAGAGGCGCCCCGGUAGGGUGAAGGGCUUUGCGCCCGUAAGCCCGAGGGGGCCGCAGUGACUCGGCCCAAGCGACUGUUUACCAAAAACACAGGUCUCUGCAUAAGUCGAAAGACGACGUAUAGGGGCUGACGCCUGCCCGGUGCCGGAAGGUCAAGAGGAGAGGUUAGCUUCGGCGAAGCUUUGAAUCUAAGCCCCGGUAAACGGCGGCGGUAACUAUAACCGUCCUAAGGUAGCGAAAUUCCUUGUCGGGUAAGUUCCGACCUGCACGAAUGGCGUAACGACUUGGGCGCUGUCUCAACCACUGACUCGGUGAAAUUGUAGUCCCGGUGAAGAUGCCGGGUAGUCGCAGCUAGACGGAAAGACCCCGUGAACCUUUACUACAGCUUGGCAUUGACGUCUGGGCUAUCCUGUCUAGGAUAGGUCGGAGACUUUGAAACCCUCGCGCCAGCGUGGGUGGAGUCACCCUUGGAAUACGACCCUGGGUGGUUUGGGCUUCUAACCUGAUGCCGUUAUCCGGCUCGGGAACAGUGCCAGGUGGGUAGUUUGACUGGGGCGGUCGCCUCCCAAAAUGUAACGGAGGCGUGCAAAGGUCAGCUCAGCACGGUCGGAAAUCGUGCGUAGAGUGUAAAGGCAGAAGCUGGCUUGACUGCGAGACCUACAAGUCGAGCAGGUACGAAAGUAGGCCUUAGUGAUCCGGCAGUGGAGAAUGGAAUUGCUGUCGCUCAACGGAUAAAAGGUACUCCGGGGAUAACAGGCUCAUCCUUCCCAAGAGUCCACAUCGACGGAAGGGUUUGGCACCUCGAUGUCGGCUCGUCGCAUCCUGGGGCUGUAGCAGGUCCCAAGGGUUGGGCUGUUCGCCCAUUAAAGCGGCACGCGAGCUGGGUUCAGAACGUCGUGAGACAGUUCGGUCCCUAUCUGCUGUGACCGUUGGACCAUUGAAGGAAUUCGUCCCUAGUACGAGAGGACCGGGAUGAACAGACCGCUGGUGUACCAGUUGUCCUAUCAAGGGCAUCGCUGGAUAGCUACGUCUGGAUCGGAUAACCGCUGAAAGCAUCUAAGCGGGAAGCCGGCCCUGAGAUGAAUGGUCCCUGAAGAGCCGUGGAAGACCACCACGUUGAUAGGCUGCACGUGUAAGGAACGCGAGUUCCUCAGCUGAGCAGUACUAAUCGCUCGUUCGAGCUUGAAAU